This 1390-nucleotide long non-coding RNA is filed under the name Triticum aestivum (bread wheat). RNAcentral describes it as "long non-coding RNA (TAES_LNC017389)". Lineage: Eukaryota; Viridiplantae; Streptophyta; Magnoliopsida; Poales; Poaceae. The record is from RNAcentral.
UAUAAUUCAACUGUACUGAUAAUGGAACAAACAAUUUAUUGAAAAACAAAAAUGUUACAUUUUAGAUUAACAUUUGUCGUAGUUUUGAAUACAGAGCAAAGGUGCAGGAACUUACAAGACACUUUUGAACAUUAUAUUAUUGAUGGGGCCACAAUCUCCACUCUCAACCACAUUUGCAAACUUCCAACUUCAUGAACUUGCAAGUGUUCAUCUUUGUUUUUUUUUGACAGAAAGACUGUAAAGGAACCCCUACAGUAUAAUUGGUGCAACAAACCCAAAUUGCAAGUACCAUGCCUUGAACCUGGGUGGGUGGGAAGGCAUCAGCCCCUUCCCACCACUAGGCUAUGCCUUAGUCUGCGUGUUCAUCUUUGUUGCUGCCAUAGGCCAUUCUUCUUUUCCUACAUAAGAGAAGAUGCUCUUCUAACAAACAACCAACACUCAAAACUCGGACAAAACUCGAUAUAGCAAAUAAUUGAAAUACUAAGGUGAUAAAACUAGAACUAGAUCAUCUCAAUUGGCAGCAUACAGGAACAUACAUCACACUAACUGAACAAGCAAGGGGUUCAAGAAAUCAGCGAGGGAAGAGGUGAGAUAAUGGAGUACAGAACAUAAAUUUGGCUUCUGGAGCUUGGUGUUGCAGCAGUCUAAGACGUGGCUUUGAAGAUGGAGAAGAACAGGAACAUGUAGAUGCAAGAGACGAUCAGCAGCGGGUGUUGACAGAGUUCAGCAGCAAGCUGUCAUUGGGGAAGAGCAGCGUCGUCAUUGGAGAGGAGGUAGAAAGUUUAAAUUGUGCUGCAAAAAGGCUCUAAAUACUAAAUGAAUAAAUGUUCUAUCAAUUAUCUACAAGGAAAGAAAACAUGUACGAGAACAAAUAAUCAUUCUCAGGUGGUUAGUCAAAAUAUACAUGAAAGACACCUUCUAUUCUGUUCUCAGGUGGUUAGGGAUAGCAAUAUAUGGACAAGGAUGCCGCCAAACACACCAAGCAUGAUUUAUUGAACAUGUGCCCAUAUGGUUACCCACAGAAGAGUUGACACAUGAUAACAAUAUAUGGAAAAAUAAAGCAUUGUGUACCUUCCUGCUUACAAGCAGCAAUCCCUCCCCAUGGUCAUCCUUCCAUAGUUACUUGACCUCCAAAAAGAUAGAUCCAUAGUUACUUGACCUCCAAAAAGACAGAUCUGAGAACACAAAUUACAUUAGUGAUCCAUAAUCCACCAUAUUAUAUAGAAGCAUAAUUUCUAACUCAUUCUGCAGGGCCAUACAUCUUUCCCUACAUAAGGGAACAUGUUUUUUCAACAAACUACCCAUACUGGGAGGUCAAAUGAAACUGAAUGCAACUUACCAACACGCUUUUGGUCUGAAUAAAUGAUCAUGAGCCACUGCAGAAACAUAG